RNAcentral lists this non-coding RNA (29 nucleotides) under Rattus norvegicus (Norway rat). The record is from RNAcentral. Lineage: Eukaryota; Metazoa; Chordata; Mammalia; Rodentia; Muridae.
UNUUUCCUUGGGUAACCUCAGGUACUAGC